GCAUAUCAAUAAGCGGAGGAAAAAGAAACCAACAGGGAUUGCCCCUAGUAACGGCGAGUGAAGCGGCAACAGCUCAAAUUUGAAAUCUGGCCCCCGGGUCCGAGUUGUAAUUUGUAGAGGAUGCUUUUGGUGCGGUACCUUCCGAGUUCCCUGGAACGGGACGCCAUAGAGGGUGAGAGCCCCGUCUGGUUGGACGCCAAUCCUUUGUAAAGCUCCUUCGACGAGUCGAGUAGUUUGGGAAUGCUGCUCUAAAUGGGAGGUAUAUGUCUUCUAAAGCUAAAUAUUGGCCAGAGACCGAUAGCGCACAAGUAGAGUGAUCGAAAGAUGAAAAGCACUUUGAAAAGAGAGUUAAAAAGUACGUGAAAUUGUUGAAAGGGAAGCGCUCAUGACCAGACUUGGGCCCGGUUGAUCAUCCAGGGUUCUCCCUGGUGCACUCUUCCGGCCCAGGCCAGCAUCAGUUCGCUGUGGGGGAUAAAGGCUUCGGGAAUGUGGCUCCUCCGGGAGUGUUAUAGCCCGCUGCGUAAUACCCUGUGGCGGACUGAGGUUCGCGCAUCUGCAAGGAUGCUGGCGUAAUGGUCAUCAGCGACCCGUCUUGAAACACGGACCAAGGAGUCGUCUUCGUAUGCGAGUGUUCGGGUGUUAAACCCCUACGCGGAAUGAAAGUGAACGCAGGUGAGAGCUUCGGCGCAUCAUCGACCGAUCCUGAUGUUCUCGGAUGGAUUUGAGUAAGAGCAUACGGGGCCGGACCCGAAAGAAGGUGAACUAUGCCUGUAUAGGGUGAAGCCAGAGGAAACUCUGGUGGAGGCUCGCAGCGGUUUCUGACGUGCAAAUCGAUCGUCAAAUAUGGGCAUGGGGGGCGAAAGACUAAUCGAACCUUCUAGUAGCUGGUUUCCGCCGA
Molecule: ribosomal RNA, 898 nt
Filed under: Corinectria fuckeliana
Lineage: Eukaryota; Fungi; Ascomycota; Sordariomycetes; Hypocreales; Nectriaceae
Description: LSU rRNA
Rfam family: Eukaryotic large subunit ribosomal RNA
Source: RNAcentral